GAUGAACGCUGGCGGCGUGCCUAAUACAUGCAAGUCGAGCGAACGGACGAGAAGCUUGCUUCUCUGAUGUUAGCGGCGGACGGGUGAGUAACACGUGGAUAACCUACCUAUAAGACUGGGAUAACUUCGGGAAACCGGAGCUAAUACCGGAUAAUAUUUUGAACCGCAUGGUUCAAAAGUGAAAGACGGUCUUGCUGUCACUUAUAGAUGGAUCCGCGCUGCAUUAGCUAGUUGGUAAGGUAACGGCUUACCAAGGCAACGAUGCAUAGCCGACCUGAGAGGGUGAUCGGCCACACUGGAACUGAGACCCGGUCCAGACUCCUACGGGAGGCAGCAGUAGGGAAUCUUCCGCAAUGGGCGAAAGCCUGACGGAGCAACGCCGCGUGAGUGAUGAAGGUCUUCGGAUCGUAAAACUCUGUUAUUAGGGAAGAACAUAUGUGUAAGUAACUGUGCACAUCUUGACGGUACCUAAUCAGAAAGCCACGGCUAACUACG
This 495-nucleotide ribosomal RNA is filed under the name uncultured bacterium. Its description in RNAcentral is "partial 16S ribosomal RNA". It matches the Rfam family "Bacterial small subunit ribosomal RNA", at positions 28 to 505 of the family's 1533-position model. The record is from RNAcentral.